CCUACGGGUGGCAGCAGUGAGGAAUAGUGGUCAAUGGGCUUACGCCUGAACCAGCCAAGUCGCGUGAGGGAAGACUGCCCUAUGGGUUGUAAACCUCUUUUGUCAGGGAGCAACGCCGGCUACGUGUAGCCGGACGGAGAGGACCUGAAGAAAAAGCAGCGGCUAACUCCGUGCCAGCAGCCGCGGUAAUACGGAGGAUGCGAGCGUUAUCCGGAUUUAUUGGGUUUAAAGGGUGCGUAGGCGGAAUGCCAAGUCAGCGGUAAAAUCGCGGGGCUCACCCUCGCUCCGCCGUUGAAACUGGCGUUCUUGCGUGUGCGUGCAGUAUGCGGCAUGCGUGUUGUCGCG
Molecule: ribosomal RNA, 345 nt
Filed under: uncultured bacterium
Lineage: Bacteria
Description: partial 16S ribosomal RNA
Rfam family: Bacterial small subunit ribosomal RNA
Source: RNAcentral